Molecule: ribosomal RNA, 1389 nt
Filed under: Kocuria sp. MDB2-21
Lineage: Bacteria; Bacillati; Actinomycetota; Actinomycetes; Micrococcales; Micrococcaceae
Description: bacterial SSU rRNA
Rfam family: Bacterial small subunit ribosomal RNA
Source: RNAcentral
GCAGUCGAACGAUGAUGCCCAGCUUGCUGGGCGGAUUAGUGGCGAACGGGUGAGUAAUACGUGAGUAACCUGCCCUUGACUCUGGGAUAAGCCUGGGAAACUGGGUCUAAUACUGGAUACUACCUCUUGCCGCAUGGUGGGUGGUGGAAAGGGUUUUACUGGUUUUGGAUGGGCUCACGGCCUAUCAGCUUGUUGGUGGGGUAAUGGCUCACCAAGGCGACGACGGGUAGCCGGCCUGAGAGGGUGACCGGCCACACUGGGACUGAGACACGGCCCAGACUCCUACGGGAGGCAGCAGUGGGGAAUAUUGCACAAUGGGCGGAAGCCUGAUGCAGCGACGCCGCGUGAGGGAUGACGGCCUUCGGGUUGUAAACCUCUUUCAGUAGGGAAGAAGCGAGAGUGACGGUACCUGCAGAAGAAGCGCCGGCUAACUACGUGCCAGCAGCCGCGGUAAUACGUAGGGCGCAAGCGUUGUCCGGAAUUAUUGGGCGUAAAGAGCUCGUAGGCGGUUUGUCGCGUCUGCUGUGAAAGCCCGGGGCUCAACCCCGGGUCUGCAGUGGGUACGGGCAGACUAGAGUGCAGUAGGGGAGACUGGAAUUCCUGGUGUAGCGGUGAAAUGCGCAGAUAUCAGGAGGAACACCGAUGGCGAAGGCAGGUCUCUGGGCUGUUACUGACGCUGAGGAGCGAAAGCAUGGGGAGCGAACAGGAUUAGAUACCCUGGUAGUCCAUGCCGUAAACGUUGGGCACUAGGUGUGGGGGACAUUCCACGUUUUCCGCGCCGUAGCUAACGCAUUAAGUGCCCCGCCUGGGGAGUACGGCCGCAAGGCUAAAACUCAAAGGAAUUGACGGGGGCCCGCACAAGCGGCGGAGCAUGCGGAUUAAUUCGAUGCAACGCGAAGAACCUUACCAAGGCUUGACAUUCACCGGACCGCCCCAGAGAUGGGGUUUCCCUUCGGGGCUGGUGGACAGGUGGUGCAUGGUUGUCGUCAGCUCGUGUCGUGAGAUGUUGGGUUAAGUCCCGCAACGAGCGCAACCCUCGUUCUAUGUUGCCAGCACGUGAUGGUGGGGACUCAUAGGAGACUGCCGGGGUCAACUCGGAGGAAGGUGGGGAUGACGUCAAAUCAUCAUGCCCCUUAUGUCUUGGGCUUCACGCAUGCUACAAUGGCCGGUACAAAGGGUUGCGAUACUGUGAGGUGGAGCUAAUCCCAAAAAGCCGGUCUCAGUUCGGAUUGAGGUCUGCAACUCGACCUCAUGAAGUCGGAGUCGCUAGUAAUCGCAGAUCAGCAACGCUGCGGUGAAUACGUUCCCGGGCCUUGUACACACCGCCCGUCAAGUCACGAAAGUUGGUAACACCCGAAGCCGGUGGCCUAACCCCUUGUGGGAGGGAGC